GAUGAACGCUAGCGGGAGGCUUAACACAUGCAAGUCGAGCGGGAUCCCCUUCGGGGGUGAGAGCGGCGCACGGGUGCGUAACGCGUAUGCAACCUGCCUUAUACAGGGGGAUAGCCCAUGGAAACGUGGAUUAAUAUCCCAUAGGAUGAUAGGUCCGCAUGGAUUUAUGAUUAAAACUGAGGUGGUAUAAGAUGGGCAUGCGUCUGAUUAGGUAGUUGGUAGGGUAACGGCCUACCAAGCCGACGAUCAGUAGGGGUUCUGAGAGGAUUACCCCCCACACUGGUACUGAGACACGGACCAGACUCCUACGGGAGGCAGCAGUGAGGAAUAUUGGUCAAUGGGCGAGAG
RNAcentral lists this ribosomal RNA (348 nucleotides) under uncultured bacterium. Its description in RNAcentral is "bacterial SSU rRNA". It matches the Rfam family "Bacterial small subunit ribosomal RNA", at positions 28 to 381 of the family's 1533-position model. The record is from RNAcentral.